CCUACGGGAGGCAGCAGUGAGGAAUAUUGGUCAAUGGACGAGAGUCUGAACCAGCCAAGUAGCGUGAAGGAUGACUGCCCUAUGGGUUGUAAACUUCUUUUAUAUGGGAAUAAAAUGUUCCACGUGUGGGAUUUUGUAUGUACCAUAUGAAUAAGGAUCGGCUAACUCCGUGCCAGCAGCCGCGGUAAUACGGAGGAUCCGAGCGUUAUCCGGAUUUAUUGGGUUUAAAGGGAGCGUAGGUGGAUUGUUAAGUCAGUUGUGAAAGUUUGCGGCUCAACCGUAAAAUUGCAGUUGAAACUGGCAGUCUUGAGUACAGUAGAGGUAGGCGGAAUGCGUGGUGUAGCGGUGAAAUGCUUAGAUAUCACGAAGAACUCCGAUUGCGAAGGCAGUUCACUGGACUGCAACUGACACUGAGGCUCGAAAGUGUGGGUAUCAAACAGGAUUAGAUACCCUAGUAGUC
Molecule: ribosomal RNA, 460 nt
Filed under: uncultured bacterium
Lineage: Bacteria
Description: partial 16S ribosomal RNA
Rfam family: Bacterial small subunit ribosomal RNA
Source: RNAcentral